Molecule: ribosomal RNA, 492 nt
Filed under: uncultured bacterium
Lineage: Bacteria
Description: partial 16S ribosomal RNA
Rfam family: Bacterial small subunit ribosomal RNA
Source: RNAcentral
AGUGAACGCUGGCGGUAGGCCUAACACAUGCAAGUCGAACGGCAGCACAGUAAGAGCUUGCUCUUACGGGUGGCGAGUGGCGGACGGGUGAGGAAUACAUCGGAAUCUACUUUUUCGUGGGGGAUAACGUAGGGAAACUUACGCUAAUACCGCAUACGACCUACGGGUGAAAGCAGGGGAUCUUCGGACCUUGCGCGAUUGAAUGAGCCGAUGUCGGAUUAGCUAGUUGGCGGGGUAAAGGCCCACCAAGGCGACGAUCCGUAGCUGGUCUGAGAGGAUGAUCAGCCACACUGGAACUGAGACACGGUCCAGACUCCUACGGGAGGCAGCAGUGGGGACUAUUGGACAAUGGGCGCAAGCCUGAUCCGGCCAUACCGCGUGGGUGCAGAAGGCCUUCGGGUUGUAAAGCCCUUUUGUUGGGAAAGAAAAGCAGCAGGUUAAUACCCCGCUGUUCUGACGGUACCCAAAGAAUAAGCACCGGCUAACUUCGUG